This 1510-nucleotide ribosomal RNA is filed under the name Salmonella enterica subsp. enterica. RNAcentral describes it as "16S ribosomal RNA". It matches the Rfam family "Bacterial small subunit ribosomal RNA". The record is from RNAcentral. Lineage: Bacteria; Pseudomonadati; Pseudomonadota; Gammaproteobacteria; Enterobacterales; Enterobacteriaceae.
AUUGAAGGGGAUUUGAUCAUGGCUCAGAUUGAACGCUGGCAGCAGGCCUAACACAUGCAAGUCGAACGGUAACAGGGAGGCUUAGCUUGCUGCUUUGCUGACAGCGAAGUAACUGGACGGGUGAGUAAUGUCUGGGAAACUGCCUGAUGGAGGUUAACUACUACUGGAAACGGUGGCUAAUACGCGCAUAACGUCGCAAGACCAAGAGGGGGACCUUCGGGCCUCUUGCCAUCAGAAUGGCAGAUGGGAUUAGCUAGUUGGUGGUAACGGCUCACCAAGGCGACGAUCUGGCUGGUCUGAGAGGAUGACCAGCCGCAGAUUUUGAGACACGGUCCAGGCUCUACGGGAGGCAGCAGUGGGAAUAUUGCACGUAAGGCGCAAGCACAGUGCAGCCAUGCCCGCGUGUAUGAAGAAGGCCUUCGGGUUGUAAAGUACUUUCAGCGGGGAGGAAGGUGUUGUGGUUAAUAACCACAGCAACGGUACCCGCAGAGAAGCACCGGCUAACUCCGUGCCAGCAGCCGCGCGGUAAUACGGAGGGUGCAGCGUUAAUCCGGGGUACUGGGCGUAAAAGCGCACGCAGGCGUUUAAUCCAAGUCGGAUGUGAAAUCCCCGGGCUCAACACGGGAACUGCAUUCGAAAACUGGCAGGCUUGAGUCUUUAUUAGAGGGGGUAGAAUUCGGGUGUAGCGGUGAAAUGCGUAGAAGAUCUGGAGAGAAUACCGGUGGCGAAGGCAUUUUGGACAAGACUGACGCGCUCAGGUGCGAAAGCGUGGGGAGCAAGCAGGAUUAGAUACUGGUAGUCCACGCCGUAAACGAUGUCUACUUGGAGGUUGUGCCCAGCGAGGCGUGGCUUCCGGAGCUAACGCGUUAGUAGACCGCCUGGGAGUACGGCCGCAAAGUUUAAAACUCAAAUGAAUUGACGGGGGGCCGCACAAGCGGUGGAGCAUGUGGUUUAAUUCGAUGCAACGCGAAGAACCUUACACGGUCUUGACAUCCACAGAACUUUCAGGAUAGUUGGUGCCUUCGGGGCACUGUGAGACGGUGCUGCAUGGCUGUCGUCAGCUCGUGUUGUAAAUGUUGGGUUAAGUCCGCAACGAGCGCAACCCUUAUCCUUUGUUGCCAGCGGUCGGCCGGGGCACAAGAACUGCCAGUGAUAAACUGGAGGAAGGUGGGGAUGACGUCAAGUCAUCAUGGCCCUUGACGGGCUACACGAUGCUACGGCGCAUACAAAGAGAAGCGACACUCGCGAGCAAGCGGACCUCAUAAAGUGCGUCGUAGUCCGGAUUGGAGUCUGCAACUCGACUCCAUGAAGUCGGAAUCGCGCUAGUAAUCGUGGAUCAGAAUGCCACAGUGAAUACGUUCCCGGGCCUUGUACACACCGCCCGUCACCAUGGGGUUGCAAAAGUAGGUAGCAACGCUUCGGGAGGCGCUUACCACUUUGUGAUUCAUGACUGGGGUGAAAGUCGUAACAAGGUAGCCGUAAGGGAACCUGCGGUUGGAUCACUCACUUA